RNAcentral lists this non-coding RNA (57 nucleotides) under Pseudo-nitzschia pungens. Lineage: Eukaryota; Bacillariophyta; Bacillariophyceae; Bacillariales; Bacillariaceae. The record is from RNAcentral.
CAACACACAGUUACAAUCACAAUAACAAUCCUACCGUUGCGCGAUCACCGCCCGCUC